CGGGGUGUAGCGCAGUUGGUUAGCGUUCCUGGUUUGGGACCAGGCGGUCGCCGGUUCGAGUCCGGCCACCCCGA
RNAcentral lists this transfer RNA (74 nucleotides) under Bacteroidales bacterium. RNAcentral's name for it is "tRNA-Pro". It matches the Rfam family "tRNA". Rfam says of the family: Transfer RNA (tRNA) molecules are approximately 80 nucleotides in length. Their secondary structure includes four short double-helical elements and three loops (D, anti-codon, and T loops). Further hydrogen bonds mediate the characteristic L-shaped molecular structure. tRNAs have two regions of fundamental functional importance: the anti-codon, which is responsible for specific mRNA codon recognition, and the 3' end, to which the tRNAs corresponding amino acid is attached (by aminoacyl-tRNA synthetases). tRNAs cope with the degeneracy of the genetic code in two manners: having more than one tRNA (with a specific anti-codon) for a particular amino acid; and 'wobble' base-pairing, i.e. permitting non-standard base-pairing at the 3rd anti-codon position. Lineage: Bacteria; Pseudomonadati; Bacteroidota; Bacteroidia; Bacteroidales. The record is from RNAcentral.